Pelobates cultripes (western spadefoot toad) is the source of this 246-nucleotide non-coding RNA. The record is from the annotation of a GenBank genome assembly. Lineage: Eukaryota; Metazoa; Chordata; Amphibia; Anura; Pelobatidae.
CACUCCCCUAGGGGACCAGAUGGAAGACUGGGAAACAUAUUGGACAUUGACCAAUCACAAGCUUACAAUCCCACAAUGCAUCACAAUCCCUCCUCUCUGUCCUGGAGAUAAUUGGGAAGUAAUCCAAUUAUCUCCAAGGACAGAGGCAAAACUCCAUUAGCCACAUGGCAGACAAAGGACAAUAAAAGACAUAAAAUUACAUACUGUUACAUUUAUCACAUAGAACAUACACAUUCUACCUAUCCC